AGCAGCCGCGGUAAUUCCAGCUCCAAUAGCGUAUAUUAAAGUUGUUGCAGUUAAAAAGCUCGUAGUUGAAUUUCGAAAUUUUUUUAUCGGUUGAAUCAACAGGUUCGUACUGAUUUUAAGAAUUUCUACCUUCUGGAGAACCUUAAUGUCAUUUAUUUGAUGUUUUGGGAAACCAGGACUGUUACCUUGAAAAAAUUAGAGUGUUUAAAGCAGGCUUAUGUCUGAAUAUAUUAGCAUGGAAUAAUGAAAUAGGACGGCAUGGUUCUAUUUUGUUGGUUUCUAGGAUCACCGUAAUGAUUAAUAGGGAUAGUUGGGGGCAUUAGUAUUCAAUUGUCAGAGGUGAAAUUCUUGGAUUUAUUGAAGACUAACUUCUGCGAAAGCAUUUGCCAAGGAUGUUUUCAUUAAUCAAGAACGAAAGUUAGGGGAUCGAAGACGAUCAGAUACCGUCGUAGUUUUAACCAUAAACUAUGCCGACUAGGAAUCGGACGAAGUUAAUUUUUAAUGACUCGUUCGGCGCCUU
This 520-nucleotide ribosomal RNA is filed under the name uncultured Pacispora. RNAcentral's name for it is "SSU rRNA". It matches the Rfam family "Eukaryotic small subunit ribosomal RNA", at positions 569 to 1089 of the family's 1831-position model. Lineage: Eukaryota; Fungi; Glomeromycota; Glomeromycetes; Diversisporales; Pacisporaceae. The record is from RNAcentral.